GAUGAACGCUGGCGGCGUGCUUAACACAUGCAAGUCGAACGAUGAAGCCCAGCUUGCUGGGUGGAUUAGUGGCGAACGGGUGAGUAACACGUGAGUAACCUGCCCUUAACUCUGGGAUAAGCCUGGGAAACUGGGUCUAAUACCGGAUAGGAGCGUCCACCGCAUGGGGGGUGUUGGAAAGAUUUAUCGGUUUUGGAUGGACUCGCGGCCUAUCAGCUUGUUGGUGAGGUAAUGGCUCACCAAGGCGACGACGGGUAGCCGGCCUGAGAGGGUGACCGGCCACACUGGGACUGAGACACGGCCCAGACUCCUACGGGAGGCAGCAGUGGGGAAUAGUGCACAAUGGGCGAAAGCCUAAUGCAGCGACGCCGCGUGAGGGAUGACGGCCUUCGGGUUGUAAACCUCUUUCAGUAGGGAAGAAGCGAAAGUGACGGUACCUGCAGAAGAAGCACCGGCUAACUACGUG
RNAcentral lists this ribosomal RNA (466 nucleotides) under uncultured bacterium. RNAcentral's name for it is "partial 16S ribosomal RNA". It matches the Rfam family "Bacterial small subunit ribosomal RNA", at positions 28 to 507 of the family's 1533-position model. The record is from RNAcentral.